CCUACGGGAGGCAGCAGUGAGGAAUAUUGGUCAAUGGGCGAGAGCCUGAACCAGCCAAGUCGCGUGAGGGAGUACUGCCCUAUGGGUUGUAAACCUCUUUUGUCGGGGAGCAAAAGUCGGACGUGUUCGGCUGUGAGAGUAACCGAAGAAAAAGCAUCGGCUAACUCCGUGCCAGCAGCCGCGGUAAUACGGAGGAUGCGAGCGUUAUCAGGAUUUAUUGGGUUUAAAGGGUGCGCAGGCGGAUUCUUAUGUCAGCGGUCAAAUCGUGGGGCUCAACCCCAUCCAGCCGUUGAAACUGGGGAUCGAGAGUGUGCGGGAGAGGCAGGCAGAAUUCCUAGUGUAGCGGUGAAAUGCGUAGAGAUUAGGAGGAACACCGGCGGCGAAGGCGGCCUGCUGGAC
Molecule: ribosomal RNA, 399 nt
Filed under: uncultured bacterium
Lineage: Bacteria
Description: partial 16S ribosomal RNA
Rfam family: Bacterial small subunit ribosomal RNA
Source: RNAcentral